Molecule: non-coding RNA, 55 nt
Organism: Solanum tuberosum (potato)
Lineage: Eukaryota; Viridiplantae; Streptophyta; Magnoliopsida; Solanales; Solanaceae
Source: Rfam
AUUUCCAAAAAAGCGACAGACAGUGUCCUAUAGUCCGUCACUUUUUUGGGAUUUU